This 216-nucleotide long non-coding RNA is filed under the name Mytilus galloprovincialis (Mediterranean mussel). Lineage: Eukaryota; Metazoa; Mollusca; Bivalvia; Mytilida; Mytilidae. The record is from RNAcentral.
CUAUUAUAAAAACAAGCCUUAAAUUCCACCCCUGAGAGUAAAAAUUGCUGCUUCAGCAAAUUUUGCCUGAUCUGUAGGUAAUAAUGUAAAAAUUUACCUAGAAAGUAGAACUUCAUUUUUUUUAUGUAACUUGCAAUACAUUUUUAAUUAUAAAUGCUCGCUUUAACUUUUCGCAGUGUCUGACACAUGUGCAACCUCUGAAAUUUGAGACGCGAC